This 613-nucleotide ribosomal RNA is filed under the name Rhizoctonia solani. RNAcentral's name for it is "eukaryotic LSU rRNA". The stretch from base 186 to 339 matches the Rfam family "5.8S ribosomal RNA". Lineage: Eukaryota; Fungi; Basidiomycota; Agaricomycetes; Cantharellales; Ceratobasidiaceae. The record is from RNAcentral.
AAUGUAGAGUUGUGUUGUCGCUGGCUGGAUGGAUUAAUUUCUGUUCAGCAUGUGCACGCCUUCUCUUUCAUCCACACACACCUGUGCACUUGUGAGACUGGGGACUGUAAAAAGUCUUCAGUCUACUUAAUACAAACUCCAUUUAAUUAAACUGAAUGUAAUUGAUGUAACACAUCAUUAGAACUAAGUUUCAACAACGGAUCUCUUGGCUCUCGCAUCGAUGAAGAACGCAGCGAAAUGCGAUAAGUAAUGUGAAUUGCAGAAUUCAGUGAAUCAUCGAAUCUUUGAACGCACCUUGCGCUCCUUGGUAUUCCUUGGAGCAUGCCUGUUUGAGUAUCAUGAAAUUCUCAAAGUCAAUCCUUUUUGUUAAUUCAAUUGGUUUGCUUUGGACUUGGAGGUCUUUGCAGAUGUCACAGUCUGCUCCUCUUAAAUUUAUUAGCUGGAUCUCAGUAUAACACUUGGUUCCACUCGGCGUGAUAAGUAUCAUUCGCUGAGGACACUGUAAAAGGUGGCCAGGAAAUUUACAGAUGAACCGCUUCUAAUAGUCCAUUUACUUGGACAAAUUAAAUUUAUGAUCUGAUCUCAAAUCAGGUAGGACUACCCGCUGAACUUA